CCUACGGGUGGCAGCAGUCGAGAAUCAUUCACAAUGGGGGAAACCCUGAUGGUGCGACGCCGCGUGGGGGAAUGAAGGUCUUCGGAUUGUAAACCCCUGUCAUGUGGGAGCAAAUUAAAAAGAUAGUACCACAAGAGGAAGAGACGGCUAACUCUGUGCCAGCAGCCGCGGUAAUACAGAGGUCUCAAGCGUUGUUCGGAAUCACUGGGCGUAAGGCGUGCGUAGGCUGUUUCGUAAGUCGUGUGUGAAAGGCGCGGGCUCAACCCGCGGACGGCACAUGAUACUGCGAGACUAGAGUAAUGGAGGGGGAACCGGAAUUCUCGGUGUAGCAGUGAAAUGCGUAGAUAUCGAGAGGAACACUCGUGGCGAAGGCGGGUUCCUGGACAUUAACUGACGCUGAGACACGAAGGCCAGGGGAGCGAAAGGGAUUAGAUACCCCGGUAGUC
RNAcentral lists this ribosomal RNA (446 nucleotides) under uncultured bacterium. RNAcentral's name for it is "partial 16S ribosomal RNA". It matches the Rfam family "Bacterial small subunit ribosomal RNA", at positions 338 to 795 of the family's 1533-position model. The record is from RNAcentral.